UACGUAGGGGGCAAGCGUUGUCCGGAAUCAUUGGGCGUAAAGCGCGCGUAGGCGGCCCGGUAAGUCCGUUGUGAAAGUCAAAGGCUCAACCUUUGAACGCCGAUGGAUACUGCCGGGCUAGAGUCCGGAAGAGGAGAGUGGAAUUCCCGGUGUAGCGGUGAAAUGCGCAGAUAUCGGGAAGAACCCCCGUGGCGAAGGCGGCUCUCUGGGACGGUACUGACGCUGAGACGCGAAAGCGUGGGAGCGAACAGG
RNAcentral lists this ribosomal RNA (252 nucleotides) under uncultured bacterium. RNAcentral describes it as "partial 16S ribosomal RNA". It matches the Rfam family "Bacterial small subunit ribosomal RNA", at positions 524 to 776 of the family's 1533-position model. The record is from RNAcentral.